Long non-coding RNA from Anguilla rostrata (American eel), 1386 nucleotides. RefSeq lists it as uncharacterized. The record is from RefSeq and is a predicted model, not a curated record. NCBI's taxonomy places the organism in Eukaryota, Metazoa, Chordata, Actinopteri, Anguilliformes, Anguillidae. The transcript has 3 exons.
GUCUGAAAGAGAGGCAGCCAUAUUACCCACAAUGCCCUCCGCCACUGGCCUGCGCUCAACAGCAUGUCGCGCUACACAGGUGCAAUGGUUGAACCAGGCCCUGACCUCUAAUGUGACCGUUAGCCGUGCGUAACUGACACCGUGACAGCGCGCCAGCCAAAUCCCGGUCAUGACAAAACUCAGUUGUCUUUAUUGGCUGCUGAUGAGAUUUCCUCAUGUUUUACAUGCUCAGGCUACAAGUCUGGUUUAAUUCAAGCCCAGGGUGCAUUACAUUUUACCAAACACACACAAGUACACACACACACACUCACCGGCCACUUCAUUAGGUACACCUGUUCAAUUGCAAACUGCACCCAUUAACGCAAAUAUCUAAUCAGCCAAUCACGUGGCAGCAACUCAAUGCAUUUAGGCAUGUAGACAUGGUCAAGACGAUCUGCUGAAGUUCAAACCAGGCAUCAGAAUGGGGAAGAAAGGUGAUUUAAGUGACUUUGAACGUGCCAUGGUUGUUGGUGCCAGACGGGCUAGUUUGAGUAUUUCAGAAACUGCUGAUCUACUGGGAUUUCCACGCACAACCAUCUCUAGGGUUUACAGAGAAUGGUCCGAAAAAGAGAAAAUAUCCAGUGAGUGGCAGUUCUCUGGGCAAAAAUGCCUUGUUGAUGGCAGAGGUCAGAGGAAAAUGGCCAGACUGGUUUGAGCUGAUAGAAAGGCAACAGUAACUCAAAUAACCACUUGUUACAACCAAGGUAUGCAGAAGAGCAUCUCUGAACGCACAACAUGUCAAACCUUGAAGCAGAUGGGCUACAGCAGCAGAAGACCACACCGGGUGCCAAUCCUGUCACCUAAUGAAGUGGCUGGAACCAAGCGUGCACCUGGAGAGAGGCCUGCCUCAUUUUCUACAGCAAGAACAUCAGCACGUCUUUCCUGCAGAGUGAUUAACAAGUCACCCCUUUUCCCUCCAGACUCUUUCAUUGUUCUAGUUAAACUUUAAAGAGUGCAGGUACAAUUACUUGGCGCACAGCGGAACCAAACACCGGCCCUCGUUCAAAUAAGGCAUCGUGCUCGGAGGGCUAGGUCUUCAUUAAUCACUUUGAUGGACGUUUAAUUUCACUUUCAGAAACUCAAGCCUUUAUGCCAAGGAGAAGGGGGGUUCUGGCUGUACACAAGAAGAAAGUCAAACAUACUUGUGCUGCGAUUCAAACCCAAACGGUCCUACAGGAAGCUGCUGAUGGCAGAAACGCUCUCUCAGUAAUCUCUGCACCUGGCAAACACACAAGAGAAAGGUUUGAGCCGCAGUCCAUGUGGAGAACUUCCAUGAAUCGCCGAGCCUAACCACAUACUCUACUGUACAACAUAUGUAGCUAUCAGCAUCUAAUUAUCCAGCUCAAU